UGCAUGAAGUCGGAAUUGCUAGUAAUCGCAGAUCAGCAUGCUGCGGUGAAUACGUUCCCGGGCCUUGUACACACCGCUCGUCACACCAUGGGAGUCGGUAACACCCGAAGCCUGUAGUCUAACCGCAAGGAGGACGCAGUCGAAGGUGGGAUUGAUGACUGGGGUGAAGUCGUAACAAGGUACC
Molecule: ribosomal RNA, 184 nt
Filed under: uncultured bacterium
Lineage: Bacteria
Description: partial 16S ribosomal RNA
Rfam family: Bacterial small subunit ribosomal RNA
Source: RNAcentral